RNAcentral lists this ribosomal RNA (493 nucleotides) under uncultured bacterium. RNAcentral describes it as "partial 16S ribosomal RNA". It matches the Rfam family "Bacterial small subunit ribosomal RNA", at positions 29 to 523 of the family's 1533-position model. The record is from RNAcentral.
AUUGAACGCUGGCGGCAUGCUUUACACAUGCAAGUCGAACGGUAACAGGUUAAGCUGACGAGUGGCGAACGGGUGAGUAAUGCAUCGGAACGUGCCCGGUCGUGGGGGAUAACGCAGCGAAAGCUGCGCUAAUACCGCAUACGAUCUAAGGAUGAAAGCGGGGGACCGUAAGGCCUCGCGCGAUCGGAGCGGCCGAUGUCAGGUUAGGUAGUUGGUGGGGUAAAGGCUCACCAAGCCAACGAUCUGUAGCUGGUCUGAGAGGACGACCAGCCACACUGGGAGUGGGGCACGGCCCAGACUCCUACGGGAGGAAGCAGUGGGGAAUUUUGGACAAUGGGCGAAAGCCUGAUCCAGCAGUGCCGCGUGCAGGAAGAAGGCCUUCGGGUUGUAAACUGCUUUUGUACGGAGCGAAAAGGUCUCCUCUAAUACAGGGGGCUCAUGACGGUACCGUAAGAAUAAGCACCGGCUAACUACGUGCCAGCAGCCGCCGUAA